RNAcentral lists this ribosomal RNA (492 nucleotides) under uncultured bacterium. Its description in RNAcentral is "partial 16S ribosomal RNA". It matches the Rfam family "Bacterial small subunit ribosomal RNA", at positions 29 to 507 of the family's 1533-position model. The record is from RNAcentral.
AGCGAACGCUGGCGGCAGGCCUAACACAUGCAAGUCGAACGGCAGCACAGUAAGAGCUUGCUCUUACGGGUGGCGAGUGGCGGACGGGUGAGGAAUACAUCGGAAUCUACUUUUUCGUGGGGGAUAACGUAGGGAAACUUACGCUAAUACCGCAUACGACCUACGGGUGAAAGCAGGGGAUCUUCUGACCUUGUGCUAUUGAAUGAGCCGAUGUCGGAUUAGCUAGUUGGCGGGGUAAAGGCCCACCAAGGCGACGAUCCGUAGCUGGUCUGAGAGGAUGGUCAGCCACACUGGAAGUGAGACACGGCCCAGACUCCUACGGGAGGCAGCAGUGGGGAAUAUUGGACGAUGGGGGCAAGCCUGAUCCAGCCAUACCGCGUGGAUGAAGAAGGCCUUCGGGUUGUAAAGCCCUUUUGUUGGGAAAGAAAAGCAGCAGGUUAAUACCCCACUGUUCUGACGGUACCCAAAGAAUAAGCACCGGCUAACUUCGUG